AUGGCCGUGCUCCCUCCCCGCUGCUGCCCCUCCCUCUUCACAGCAGUGAUCUUGCUCCUGUUUCGCCCAUCUCCGGCAUCGCCUCAUGCUUUCUUCAUCUUCGGCGACUCCCUCGUCGACGCGGGGAACAACGACUAUCUCGUGACCCUCUCCAAGGCCAACACCCCGCCAUACGGCGUCGACUUCUCGUUUUCUGGCGGCAAGCCGACCGGGAGAUUCACAAACGGCAGGACCAUUGCGGAUGUCAUUGGUGAAGCCUUGGGGCAGGAGAGCUUUGCUCCUCCCUACUUGGCCCCAAACUCUAGUGCUGAAGUGAUCAACAGUGGAGCCAACUAUGCUUCUGGUUCUUCCGGCAUUUUCGACGAGACCGGUUCCUUCUAUAUCGGAAGGGUGCCACUAGGACAGCAAAUCAGCUACUUUGAGAAGACCAGAGCUCAGGUACUGGAGACCAUGGGGGAGAAUGCCACGGCCGACUUCUUGGGGAACGCGCUCUUCACGGUGGCUGCUGGAUCCAAUGACAUCCUGGAGUACCUCUCACCUGCAGUGCCAUUCUUGGGACGACAGAAACCUGACCCUGCAGUUUUCCAGGACGCCUUGGUUGCCAAGUUGGCAUUUCAUCUCAAGCGGCUGAACGAGCUCGGGGCUAGGAAAUUUGUCAUCGCCGACGUCGGCCCGCUGGGCUGCAUACCGUACGUGCGCGCCCUGGAGUUCAUCCCUGCGGGCGAGUGUUCGGCGGCUGUGAACAGGCUCUGCGAAGGCUACAACAGGAGGCUGAAGAGGAUGAUCGGCAGGCUGAACCAGGAGACGGGCCCGGAGAGCGCGUUCGUCUACACCAACACCCACGGCAUCGUCAUGGAGAUCAUCCGGCAGCACCGUCAAUACGGUAGCAGGAUUUUCUUUCUUGCGUGCUGCAGGCAGGUUCGCAUUUCGUGGACUGAGAGUUGGAUCUGUGUCGUAGGUUUCGAGGAGGCGCUGGACCCUUGCUGCGGCGGCAGCUUCCCGCCGUUCCUCUGCAUGGGCGUCGCCAACUCGAGCUCCGCCACCCUGUGCGAGGACCGCUCCAAGUACGUGUUCUGGGACGCGUUCCACCCGACCGAGGCCGUCAACCUCAUCGUCGCCGGCAGGAUCGUCGACGGCGGCGCCGCCGAUGCGUGGCCCGUCAACGUCCGCGCCUUGUUCCAGCGUCGAUACGGAUGA
This 1197-nucleotide ribosomal RNA is filed under the name Triticum aestivum (bread wheat). RNAcentral describes it as "partial small subunit ribosomal RNA". Lineage: Eukaryota; Viridiplantae; Streptophyta; Magnoliopsida; Poales; Poaceae. The record is from RNAcentral.